GAUGAACGCUGGUGGCGUGCCUAACACAUGCAAGUCGAGCGAUUCUCUUCGGAGAAGAGCGGCGGACGGGUGAGUAACGCGUGGGUAACCUGCCCUGUACACACGGAUAACAUACCGAAAGGUAUGCUAAUACGAGAUAACAUGCUUUUAUCGCAUGGUAGAAGUAUCAAAGCUUUUGCGGUACAGGAUGGACCCGCGUCUGAUUAGCUAGUUGGUGAGGUAACGGCUCACCAAGGCGACGAUCAGUAGCCGACCUGAGAGGGUGAUCGGCCACAUUGGAACUGAGACACGGUCCAAACUCCUACGGGAGGCAGCAGUAGGGAAUAUUGCACAAUGGGCGAAAGCCUGAUGCAGCAACGCCGCGUGAGCGAUGAAGGCCUUCGGGUCGUAAAGCUCUGUCCUCAAGGAAGAUAAUGACGGUACUUGAGGAGGAAGCCCCGGCUAACUACGUG
This 452-nucleotide ribosomal RNA is filed under the name uncultured bacterium. RNAcentral's name for it is "partial 16S ribosomal RNA". It matches the Rfam family "Bacterial small subunit ribosomal RNA", at positions 28 to 507 of the family's 1533-position model. The record is from RNAcentral.